CCUGCCUAAAAGGUACCCACCAAGUCCUUUUUCUCUUUGCAUUCAAGAUGACAGAGGGACGCCCGCGCGGACGGGCUUCGUUGACUGUGCAACAGCGCCGCCUAGAGGCCAGAUGCCUUGAGGGCGGCCAGCACCCAGAGCUGCCUCCAAUCAAGUUCCCCUUUGUUUUGCUUAUCUGGGAGCUAUCAGUGCGUGACCGAGAACUGCCUCGGAGAAUGUGGGGUGUGUUUGAGAACCAUAAUCUAAAGCCCUAAGUUCUGAGUUCUUCGCUUCCCACCUUCUACGGCUCAUGGGCCUUAGUUUUUUGUGUUUUUUCUUUUGGACACUUAAUGAGAGGAGGCUGUUUUGUUUUUUGUUUUUCUCUUAGUCAACAAAUCAUAGCAACAAACUUACUCAUUGGUCACAAGCCUUUGGUGGCUUUUCGUUUGAGAGGAGAAAAUCCCGGAAAAGAUUUGGUGAGUCUUCAACCUGCACGGUUUACACUUUGUCCUCGGUGGAUACCCUUUUGGAAGAAGAAACAUGUGAAGAUCCCUCGGUUGUGUGCCCUUGGGAGUGGUGAGCAGGAAAGGGAUGGAGUGUUCCCAGGCCUUUACACAGCAGAUAAGAAAUGGAGUUAGCAUUAACAGCAAAAUGUAGAUUCAUACGUCUACAAGAUACCUUGCACUCUGUAAUCACGUUCGGAACAAUCACAGGCUGACUGAUUACUGAUAAAAUGUUAGUUGAAAAAUGGUUGCAAUUCUUGACUUUCAGCAUUCACACCAAUGAGAUUGAAGAACCAAUAACCCAGGGAAAAUAAUAACAGACCAAACAAUAGUUCUGUCAUGAUAAAGUAGGUACUUGCUUAGAAUUGAUGGUUGGGUAAAACUGAGAAGGAAGUAUGUCUGUCCUGACCCCUGGUAUCUUCUUCAGCUUGCUUCUCUCUUCCCAGGAGCCACACUUCGCAUCUUCUCUCAAUGUUUCCUUCCGAGAAUAUGUCUUCUUUUUAUCCUGAGCUACAAUCUCCAUCUUCUCUCCUCCCCCAUCUUCCCAACUUACAGUUAAGAAUAAAGCCUUGGGAUUCCUCUCUCAUUUUCUAUUUUGAUUGAACUGAAACCAUGGCAGCUUUUUCUACUUGUGUGUGUGUGUGUGUGUGUGUGUGUGUGUGUGCGCACGUGUGUACCAUUAAGCACAAGUAUACAGAGCCUUUCUUAACAUGCCAUAGGAUACCCUCACUAUUUCCUUGACUAUCAUGUUUUCAAUUUGAUUUAUUUGUGACCCUCCAGAAGAAUCUUCUGUGUGGAUUCUGUUGGUUUUGUUGAGCCCAUUAUGCACAGAGACAAUCUGUGCAAAUAAUGUUCUCGGCAGAAUGGUGUCUCCUCAAUAGGCUUCAUAACUGUCCGUCACUUUGACCGGCUUUAUCUUGGGAGUCGGUCACUGUGGGAUAGUUUAUUUUCUUAGAAUCAUAUGAAAAUUUGAAAACAUAUGAAGAAUUAGAACCAAUGCACAAUUUACAAUGUUAUCAAUAGUAAAAGGCAAGUACCUUUAAAAAGCAACUGAAGACCUCAUAGGAUAUCAAAAAUCUUGAAUUACAUAAGGAUAAGUAAAAAAAAUCGAGUAAGAAGGGAAUCAUGCAAGUAUGAUUGGUAUUCUAAAUUUUACUUUGCAGGCUAGAAUAAAACCUGGAAACAAAGACAACAAUUUUAAAACAAACCAUCUAAAUCAAAUUAUCAUCCAGAAUGAGGACUCAUUAGACUGUGACCGGGGCCUGCACAGCUAUUAAAUGAACAUAGCAGCAAUGCUUAGAAAAAGACAGCUGUACAGACGUCACCAAAAUCUCACAGUUUACUAUUGUGCCCUAGAAGUGUUGGGAACCAUGAAUAUGUUCAUAAACUGGACUUCAGCCAGCGGUGCUGGUGAUAAUCAUCUUGACAGAAGUGUAAUCUCGAGCUGUCCUUGCUGAAUUGGUGGCUGAACGCAACAGACUAGCAACGGAGUAUGAAGUGGGUGAAAAGCAAAAAGCACAACCAGAAAAUGGAAGCAUGGUGAUAUUCCAUUGCCUGAGGGCAGUAAUGAAAGCACUGGGAUUCUUCGGAAGACAAUGCUGCCCCACAAAGAAGGACCCGAAACCUGUAGAGAGCCGUUCUGGAAACUACAUUAAAGCAGACACGUAAUAGCUCAAGGUAAUAGCAUUCAUGUUCCAAAUGGAAGGAUGUUAGAAGAUGGCCGACACUUUCAAGUCUGAUCCUGGAGCCUGAACCAGGUCGUAUCUUCCUGGAGCUCCCUCUGGGAUGAGGGUGUGAGAAGCAGUCUACCCUGAGACUUGAUAGCUCUCCAUUUGCGGCCCCUGGCUCCCCUGUCCAUAUCUCCUUGUCACAGACACUCUGCUGAACUAAAACACAUGCCACCGAACUUUCCGCUGCCGCUAGAAGGUGCCACCCAGUUGACCCGGUUUUUGUUCUGGAAGCUACCUCUGUACAGUACAAUAUUUCUUUCUAAUGUUCUCCCGCCCACCUCAAGGCUCAAUCAUGGCUCUCAGGCCCUUUCAUUAUUAUAAACACCAUUAAAGGAAGGAAUUAGGUCAGCUUUUCUGUAUAGACCAAUUGCUGCUGUUUUAUUAUCCUUUAUAGACAGAGGACAGAGACAAUUCUGGGCAUGUCCAAUUAUGCACUGUGUUGUGUCAUAUUUACUCUAGGGUAACUGAAAGAAUUAGUUGAAAUGAGUUUGCUGAUCUCUACUGACUAGUACUGCACACAUUUUUCCAGAGUUUUAACUGGUAAAGAAGAGGCAGGAGGCGGGGAACAUUUGAAAAUGCAUUAACAGUCUUCUAAAGAGGUGGUAGUUUUCUCUUCUGUAUAUGCAGGACAAUACCCCUUAAGGAACCUGCUCAAUUCUUAGCUAACAGAACAACUCAUGGUAAUCUCGGUUUUCCCCGUCUGUGUGGAAUCCAUUACGGAGACAUCCAGUACUCAUUUGGAAGACAUUUGAAAAUGAAGAAGGGGGAUUUGCCUCUUUCUCUCUCCCAGCCAGGUUAACUGCAGGUUGGUUCUGCCUUUCUGCCAAGGCCUGCAGUUCGCACUGGGCACCAAGGACUCUGCUAGGAUCUUGUAAUGCUGCCUUUCCCUCCCUGGUGGGG
Myodes glareolus (Bank vole) is the source of this 3112-nucleotide non-coding RNA. The record is from RefSeq and is a predicted model, not a curated record. Lineage: Eukaryota; Metazoa; Chordata; Mammalia; Rodentia; Cricetidae.